UACGUAGGUGGCAAGCGUUAUCCGGAAUUACUGGGCGUAAAGCGUGCGCAGGCGGUUCGUUAUGUCCGAUGUGAAAGCCCCGAGCUUAACUUGGGAAUGGCAUUGGAAACUGGCGGGCUGGAGUGCGGCAGAGGGGGGUGGAAUUCCACGUGUAGCAGUGAAAUGCGUAGAGAUGUGGAGGAACACCGAUGGCGAAGGCAGCCCCCUGGGCCGACACUGACGCUCAGGCACGAAAGCGUGGGGAGCAAACAGG
RNAcentral lists this ribosomal RNA (253 nucleotides) under uncultured bacterium. Its description in RNAcentral is "partial 16S ribosomal RNA". It matches the Rfam family "Bacterial small subunit ribosomal RNA", at positions 524 to 776 of the family's 1533-position model. The record is from RNAcentral.